CAGUCGCCGCGGGAAUACGUAGGGUGCAAGCGUUAAUCGGAAUUACUGGGCGUAAAGCGCACGUAGGCGGAUAUUUAAGUCAGGGGUGAAAUCCCGCAGCUCAACUGCGGAACUGCCUUUGAUACUGGGUAUCUUGAGUAUGGAAGAGGUUAGUGGAAUUGCGAGUGUAGAGGUGAAAUUCGUAGAUAUUCGCAGGAACACCAGUGGCGAAGGCGGCUAACUGGUCCAUAACUGACGCUGAGGUGCGAAAGCGUGGGGAGCAAACAGGAUUAGAUACCCCCGUAGUCCCUGUCUCUUAUAA
RNAcentral lists this ribosomal RNA (301 nucleotides) under uncultured bacterium. RNAcentral's name for it is "partial 16S ribosomal RNA". It matches the Rfam family "Bacterial small subunit ribosomal RNA", at positions 509 to 809 of the family's 1533-position model. The record is from RNAcentral.